GACGAACGCUGGCGGCGUGCUUAACACAUGCAAGUCGAACGAAGAGCGACGGAAGCUUGCUUCUAUCAAUCUUAGUGGCGAACGGGUGAGUAACGCGUAAUCAACCUGCCCUUCAGAGGGGGACAACAGUUGGAAACGACUGCUAAUACCGCAUACGAUCUAAUCUCGGCAUCGAGGAUGGAUGAAAGGUGGCCUCUACAUGUAAGCUAUCACUGAAGGAGGGGAUUGCGUCUGAUUAGCUAGUUGGAGGGGUAACGGCCCACCAAGGCGAUGAUCAGCAGCCGGUCUGAGAGGAUGAACGGCCACAUUGGGACUGAGACACGGCCCAGACUCCUACGGGAGGCAGCAGUGGGGAAUCUUCCGCAAUGGACGAAAGUCUGACGGAGCAACGCCGCGUGAGUGAUGACGGCCUUCGGGUUGUAAAGCUCUGUUAAUCGGGACGAAAGGCCUUCUUGCGAAUAGUGAGAAGGAUUGACGGUACCGGAAUAGAAAGCCACGGCUAACUACGUG
RNAcentral lists this ribosomal RNA (510 nucleotides) under uncultured bacterium. Its description in RNAcentral is "partial 16S ribosomal RNA". It matches the Rfam family "Bacterial small subunit ribosomal RNA", at positions 28 to 507 of the family's 1533-position model. The record is from RNAcentral.